This 1848-nucleotide long non-coding RNA is filed under the name Canis lupus familiaris (dog). RNAcentral describes it as "lncRNA (ENSCAFG00000052294.1, ENSCAFG00845001802.1)". Lineage: Eukaryota; Metazoa; Chordata; Mammalia; Carnivora; Canidae. The record is from RNAcentral.
GAGAGAGAGAGAGAGAGAGAGAGAGAGGCAGAGACAUAGGCAGAGGAAGAAGCAGGCUCCAUGCAGAGAGCCCGAUGUGGGACUUGAUCCCAGGACUCUGGGAUCACGCCCUGAGCCAAAGGCAAAUGCUCAACCACUCAACCACUGAGCCACCCAGGUGUCCCUCUUGGUAUCUAUUCUAUACCCUCAGCCCCAGGCCCAUCAAAUUCCAUGUAUGUACAAUAUACAUUUAUAGAUUCAUAAAUCAGUGCAAAUAGUAUUUGAUCUUGGCAACCUACCAGGUACAACAGUCAUCUGGGUCCUGGAUCCAAAGAUCAGUUGCUGGCCUGAACCAAGAAACACUGUGAUAUGCCCAACAUAAAAAAACAGGCCAAAAAGGCCAGGUUGGCAGGACACAGAGUAAAGAGUCAGCGAUUACUUUAUGGGUUUGGCUUUAACAUCAUUGUCAGCCUAAGUUUGUUGUGGAGUAACAAACAAAUAUCUACAAUCAUGAAUAAAUUCUUCUUUGUCUUUAUAAUCCCCCUUUCGUCUAGGGAAUCUUUGCUUUCCACUUUCUACUACAGAGUUCUAAGCAUUCAACAUAUGCUUUAAAUAUAUACAGAGAGUAAGUGCUCUCUGAUUUUAGAUGUUAAACCAGGGUUCACAUCUUUUUGUCUAAGAUGACUCACAAAACCCAGGUCAGAGACUCUUUCUCCUCUGCUCUGGGCAUUGAUGAGUUGUGCAACAAGGACUAAAUCCUUGAUUCCUCCUCAGACUGAGUCUACAGGAUGGAAAUGAGGUUUAGAACUGCCAUUAUCUACUUAAUUUGGCUGCUGAUUUGGAUAAAAUGAUUUUAUAAUUAUUAAAUUAUUGGGGACAUUUCUAGUUUUCUGCUUUACUUUUUGGGUCAUUUCUUUUCUCCUGACUAAAGAGGUCUCUAUGUUGAUUCAGCUGCUAAGAGACUUUAAAAAAUGCAACAAAAAUGAAUUUUAAUAUUUCCUAAAGUAGUGAGGAUGGCAUGAUAGGGUCAUGCCCAGGAGGGAUCAGAAUAUGGAUUGUCAUAAUCAAGGGAACAAAUGAGAUCCACCUCUAGAAGUUCAGUUCCCUGAUGGCAAUAUCUCAUUGAGUUCAUUUCCUGAUGGGUCCAUGGUAUGAGCACCAAGCCUGAUGUAGAGUGGAUGAACAAAAGUAUUUGUCAGAUUAGUCCUGUGGACUCCUCAAACUUCAGGCCAGGAGAAUUAAUGACAAGCUCAAGCAACAAGUUCGGCAAAGUGGAGAUUUAAGUUCUGUUCCAGCUCAGGUACAGACAGGCUAUAGGAUCAUGAUCAGUCUCUUCCUCAGGCCUGAGUUCCAUUCAUAAAUGGAGAUGGUCAGAAGGGAUGAUUUUUAAGGAUUCUCUGUGCUCCAUGAGGCUUUGUUAUAUAAAUUUUUGGCCUAAAGUUUCAGAAACAAUGAGGUGUCCCACAGUACUUAUGAAUAAACUUUUUUUUUUUAAAUGUGAUUUUUCAGACAGAGAGGCUAAUGACAAUUAUUUGGGUCAAUGAUCACUAUUUAUAACAUUCCUUCCAUAAGUUGACAUAAUCUUAGCCAAAAAGAAUAGUGCCUUAAAGGCUUGUUAAGGAAUUGGAAGUCUUGUCCACUGAUGACUAUAGAAAUCUGGGGCUACAGGGCCUAGCCAGUACCCUAAAUAAUCAGUCACACCUCUUUAGUCCCAACACAUAUAUACUGGAAGUAAUUCCCAGGACUCCCUCACAUGCCCAUUUUGUACUAAGACAUCAGAUCCUAGCCAGGGAGACUUUUGUCCUCCUUCUGUGUGAUGUUCAUUCACCCUUUCUAAACAUUCAUCAUAUAAUGUAUAAUUGGGUCUAA